This 37940-nucleotide long non-coding RNA is filed under the name Ananas comosus (pineapple). RNAcentral's name for it is "long non-coding RNA (ACOM_LNC026435)". The record is from RNAcentral. Lineage: Eukaryota; Viridiplantae; Streptophyta; Magnoliopsida; Poales; Bromeliaceae.
AGGUUUGAAAAAAUUAGUUUUUUUUUAAAAAAAUUAAAAGUUAUACGUUUAGUUUUUCAAAAAUUUUAAACAAUAUAUAUUAUAUUUUUAAUAUUUUAUGCAACGUAUAUUUCAUGUACACUUAGCUAGUAAAUCUAAAUUAGAAAUUAAACUAAAGAAUUAGUUAUAACUUGAGAAUAUCGGGUAGCACAAAAAACCUUUCCAAUUGUCGGAAAAAUGAUUGUUUCGGUGAGUAGGAUGACGAUGAAAUGCUGGCAAAAGUUACAAUGAACAUGUGCUAGUGAACGCGACAAUGAUCAGUGAAAGUGAUGAUGAUGAUGUUUUGCCGCCGGUGAGGACAACAGCGAUGUGUUGGAAGGACGAUGACUUACGCAAUUAAUAUGAAAGAUAAAAAUAUCAUGACAAUGCAAAUCUAUUAGCAUUUAAAAAUCUUAAAAAGUAAAACAAAGUGUACAAAAGACGAAUUAAGUAGAAAAUUAUAUUAUGACACAUUAAAAUGAAUUAGGUGGAGCCAAAAUAUCUUUCCAAUUGUAGCGAUGGCGAUCGUGGACGAUGAUAAGAAACAAAUAAAAUAUUACUAAAAUAAUAUAUUUGAGAAAACGUAAAGUAAAAAUAAAAAAGGUUAUGAUUUAUAUUUAUGAAACAUAUAGAUGGAGAUGAGAAAGUAUUAGAAAAAAGAUAUGAUAACUAUUAUGAUGAGAUAAAAUUGGAAAAGUGAGGAAAAUUUUAUAUGUGAGGGUAUUAAGAUUUUAUCUAUAUUAUGCGUAGAUGGCGGGCGGGUAUACACGAUAGAAAUAUUAAAUAUUUUACUAUAUUUUUCGAUUUCUAAUAAAUUGAAAAUUUGAAUAUACAUAUUUUAAAGUAAAAAUAUUAAAAUGUUAAUAAUAUUUAAUUUUAAAAAUUAAAAUUUAAUUCGAUCCACUUUAAGAUUUAAAUUUUAAAAUUUUUAAAAUUUUUUAAAAAUUUUAGUAAAAAAAGAUAGAAACAUUUUUCAGAAAGAAUUUUAUGUUUAAUUCAAAACUCAAAUUUUAAUUUUGAUCCACUUUCAGAUUUAAAUUCAAAUUCAGAUAUUAUAUGUUUCUGACAAAUUCAAAAUUUAAUGGAUUAUUUGAGAUGAAUGGUUCAAAAUUUCUGGACAUGAAAAAAUUAAUUAAAAAGAUAAAGACAUUUUCAUAAUAAAAUUUAUGUUUAAUUUAAAAUUUAAAAUUUAAUUUUGAUCCAUUUUAAUAUUUAAAUUCAAAUGCGAGGAUAUGUAUAAUUCAAAAUUAUGAUAGGUUGAGAGAAUUUUUAAGAAUGAGAAAAGAUUAAAAUUUUGAUAAGAUAUUUGAGAAACAUGUAGAUAUUCUGUGGAUUAAUGAGAUAUUUGAGAAAUUCACAAAUAUUAUGUUGAGAAAAAUUGGCGGAUAUUAUGUAUGAGAAGGAAAAUAUUUAAGAAACGCGUAGAUAAUGUAAGGACUGAGAUUUUUACAGUGCAAUUAAACUCUCUGUUGAUGAUGUUUAUGUGUGUAAAUUAAUUACAUAAGCACUCGUCAAGUUUCAGGAGAAACUGAGCUAAAACGGAGAAGUUACGCGAUUAUUAGUUUUCACUUAAGUGAAUAGUAACUCCGGUUUUUCGGUGAAGCCACGGAGUAGAGCUGGCUUUCGGCGCGUAUCGGACUCCGUUCAUAGCGAUCCAAUAGCUCGUUUUGAAUGGUUCAGCUAUUCUGGAACCAAUGGCACUGACGGAUUUUAGAUCUGAUGCACGAUUUUCGAGAAAAUCUGAAAAUACAUGUUUCUUAUGUAAUUGUGCACCUUUUUGGCCUUUUGGAGAGAGAUUGGAUUUCGUCGUGAAUCGGAGAUCAAAUCUGACGAAACGAAAUGCUAGAUUCGAUGCCUCGACGUGCUGAACGCGUUGGCCUGAUCCGAUCAGAAAUCCGAUGGACGGAUCUUUGGGAAUUGCAAUAAGUUCGCUAAGGGGUCGAGAGUGGAAAAUCGGGAAAUUCGCAAAAGUCGUAAUAUUUUAUGUACCGAAUCACGCGAGAUCGAUUGUGGAGGUGCAAAAGCGCGAGAGUUACCCAUUGUGAGGGACUAGGGUUGAAAUUUGUAAUUCAGGUGGACUUUUGUGCAAUUUGCACAUUGCAUACAAUGUGCAUCUAGGGUUCUUUUGCAAGGAACCCUAGAUCUAGCCGACCUAGUUCCCCAACCGUGCCCUAGAUAGCUCCAGUAGGUCCCUGCCCUACCUACGCUCGUGCCCAGACCUCCGGCGAGCAACUCCGGCCGCCGGAAAACUCAUGGUCAUCUUCCUUUCCACCCUCUCGGCCUGAGUACACAGGGAAACGCGCGAAGCCCGAGGAUCCUUCACCCUGUGGCAGAGAGUUACCUCCGGCNAUAUAUAUAUAUAUAUAUAUAUAUAUAUAUAUAUAUAUUUAUAAAAAAUUUUCUGUAAUUGAAUCUUAUAUUAAUUGUAUAAAUAUUUUAUCCUCGAGAGUCCAACUACUAUAUUCUUAUGAGUACGAUCGCCCUCGUACUCAUAAGCCGUUUUUGAUGAUAGAGCUUUCGAAUUGACAAUCCAUACCGUUAAAUAUUAUCUAGAGCAUUUAAAAUUUUUAAAAAUCAAAUUUCAUAAUUUUUCGACAUCAUUUACCUUACGAUCAAAAUGUCACAAAAUUGACAAUUUUUAACGGCCGGUAUGAGAUAUUUAUUAGUUUAACGGUGUAAAAGAAUUAGAAUAGAUUGAAUUUUUGAUAAAAAUUUCUAUUCCGUACCUAAAUAAAGAUCAAUAACUCCGAUCUUAAAUUGAAGGAUCCGAUCAUCUAUUUUUAGAAUGUCGUUCGAUUUUGACCGUUUAUUUUAUGCCUAUUUGAUAGACUCUUAAAAGUUUCAAAUAGUUUAGAUCAUAUUUAACAAAGUGGAUCACCGAAAACUCUAUCAUCAAAAAUAAUUUAUGAGUACGAAAAAUUUUAUACUCAUAAGAGUAUCCUGAUACCAAAAAAAGCCUUAGAAAUAUACGUACACGGCCACCAAAAAAAAAUUUCAUAUACAAGCCCUGCUUCAGAUCACGCAUCUAAAGUCAACGUCCCACGUGAUGCCACGUGGCCACGAGAUGCCCGCCUACGGUGUUGGAUCGUUAAAAUAACGCACGUGCUCCCCACGUGGGUGCAUUUAUAUACACUAAUUUAAUACUAUAUAUAAAAAUAUAUACGUAUUUUGAAUUUGAAUAUUUUCACUAUGCACAAUAAAUAGCAUUUUUAAUACCUCUUUUUCUUUACAUUUUUUUAUUAAAUAUUUUUUUUUGCGAUUGAAUAUUUUCAGAUUAUUUCAAUAUUAUUUACUAAUAUGUAGUUGUAUUAUUUUCUUUUUUGAUAACUAUGUAGGAUCUAUAUCAACAAACUUAUUUGACUCAAAAGAAUCCUAUGUCUUAUUAUAUAAUUUAAUGGUCGUUUCACAUCAUUUCAGGCUUGUUUGUUUCACCGAAGAUAAAGCUCAGAUUGGGAUCGAUUUUCAAAUAAACUAGAGUUCAUGCUAAAAUUUACUUUUCUUUUGAUUUUUGUUUGCGUAGCUGUAGAAAUGAAGUUUUAAAAGCCGGAGGUAUGAGAGAUAAAUUAAAAUUUUAUUAUUUUUUUCACACUUUUCUUUAGUAACUGGCUUUCAUCUUAUUUGAGAUGGGUCGAAGUCAAUUACGCUAUUUUGUGAAGUUUGAGUUUCAACUCAAAAUAAAUCUAGUUACGAUGAAAUACCAAACAACAAAAAUGAACAUUUAGGGUUGAAUAAAACCAUUUUACCUCUCUGUUGGGUGGGAUCCUAAUGGUCAAAAUUAAGGCAUAAUUUAAAUAUUAAAAAAUAAAACAAGGAGUUAAGAUUGAAACAACGAGAUUAAAACAGUAAAAAUUGGAGGUAUGAAAGAUGAAUUAAGAUUUUAUUAUUUUUUCUUUUUUUUUUGUGUAAUUUACUUUGGUUAGAUCUGAAAUGGACUGAAAUCAAUUACACCAUUUUCUGGAGUUUGAGUUUCGACCCAAGAUAAAUCUAGUGACGAUGAAAUACCAAAUAACAAAAAUGAACAUUUAGGAAAAUUAUUUCAUCUCUCUAAUGCGUGGGAUUCUAAUGGUCAAAAUUAAAACGCAAUUUAAAUAUUAAAAAAUUAAAGUAAGGAAUUAAGGUUGAAACAAUAAGAUUAAAACAGUAAAAAUUGGAGGUACCAAAGAUGAAUUAAGAUUUUUUUUAUUUUUUAUUUUUUGUAGUAACUAGCUUUGGUCAGAUCUGAAAUGGGCUGAAGUCAAUUACGCUAUUUUCUAGAGUUUGAGUUUUGACUCAAGAUAUUUCUAGUGUCGAUGAACAAAACUAAAGGUAAAUCUAGUGUCGAUGAAAUACCAAACAACGAAAGUGAAUAUUUAUGGUCGAAAACUAUUUCAUCUCUCUGAUGUGUGGGAUUCUAAUGGUCAAAAUUAAAACACAAUUUAAAUAUUAAAAAAUUAAAGUAAGGAGUUAAGGUUGAAACAACAAGAUUAAAACAGUAAAAACUGGAGGUAUUAUUGAUGAAUUAAGAUUUUAUUAUUUUUUUCUUUUUUUUCGUAAUUGACUUUGAUCAGAUCUAAAAUGGGCUGAAAUCAAUUACGCUAUUUUCUGAAGUUUGAAUUUCGACUCAAAGUAAAUCUAGUUAAGGUGAAACAUCAAACAACAAAAGUGAACAUUUAGGGUCGAAAAUUAUUUCAUCUCUCUAAUGAGUGGGAUUCUAAUGGUCACAAUUAAAACACAAUUUAAAUAUUAAAAAAUUAAAGUAAGGAGUUAAGAUUGAAACAACAAGAUUAAAAUAGUAAAAACUGGAGGUGUGGAAGAUGAAUUAAGAUUUUUGUUAUCUUUUCUCUUUUUUUUCAUAAUUGGCUUUGGUGAGAUCUGAAUAGGCUGAAGUUAAUUACGCUAUUUUCUGGAGUUUGAGCUUCAACUCAAGAUAAAUCUAGUGACAAUGAAAUACCAAAUUAAGGGAUAAUUUAAAUAUUAAAAAAAUGAGUAGGAUCCCACUGGUCAAAAUUAAGGGAUAAUUUAAAUAUUAAAAAAAAUUAAAGCAAGGACUAGAUUAAAACAGUAAAACAAGAGAUGAAUUAAAAUUUUAUAUUUUUUUUUCAUUUUUUUCAGUUAGAUCUAAGAUGGACUGAAGUUAAUUACGCUAUUGAUGAGUCAAAUCCUAAUGGUCAAAAAAUUAAGAUAUAAUUUUAAAAAAAUUUAAAAAAUGAAAAAAAAUAAAACAGGGAGUUAAGAUUAAGAGAAGAAGAUUAAAACAAAAGGUGAAACAAACCAACAUAAUAAAACAAAAUAAAAGCUAAGUGUAAAUAUUAAAAUAGUUUUUUUUAAAAAAAUAGAAUUAAAAAAAAAAAAAAAAAAUCUGUGGAAUGCUGUGCUUUGGAAGCAUCGGAUUCCGGCAUCCAGCUGGGGUGGGGUGGAAACUGGCAAGGCCGGCAGCUCAACGUGCAAACCCAAGCUGUAACGUGGGUCCCACACAGCGAAGCACACGUACUGUAUAAGAAAUAAUAUAUAACUAUAAAUUUCAUUUUCAAAAUCAUAGGAGUUUAAAAAUAUUUAAAUUAAAAAAAAAUCAAUAAGGGCAUUUUGAUCGACCAGGGAAUAUAUUGUAUAUUUCUGAAGUUCUCAAGGAUCGAUGUAUUUUAAAUAUUAUUCCUAAAUAUAAAUAAAUAAAUAUAUAUAUAUAUAUAUAAUAUAUUUUUUUUUUUUUGUUUGAACCAAAUCGGAUUGUUGGGUGCCACCUUGAACAGGCUCAAAUCCUCCAAAUAAUUAUAUAAUUUUUUUUUCUGUUUGUACCUGAACCGAACCUGAUCAAUUUGCUUUAUUGGAUCGAAUCAAUUAUUCUAUAUAUUUUCAUCUUUGAAUUAGAUUUUUUUUUUAAUUAUCUAAACCAAACCAAUAAUGCUGAACUGGAUCAAACUUCAUUAGAUCGAACCAAACCAAUUGCUCUACAUAUUUCUAUCUUUGAACCAGAUUUUUUUUUUAAUUUUUCUGAACCGAAUUAGUAAUUAUUGAAUAAGUGCUCCAUCCUGAACUAGCUCAAGUUCUCUUUUUUUUUUUGGCUUGAACAGAACCAAAUUUCUUUUCUUUACUUGAAUCGAACCGGUGCCCUCUUUCUUGCUUGAACCGAGCUCGGUCAAAUUUUUUGCCCUUUUUCACUUCUCUUUGUUUUUAUAGAAAUUUUCAUUAAGGACUUUUUUUAGAAAAAAAAAAUUUAACUGAUAUUUGUAUUAAUUUAUUAUUAAUAUUGAUAUAAAUAUAUAUGAUGAUAAAGUAUAUUUAGCAAAUACGUAAUAUCUUCAUUUAUUUUUAAACUAUUGACUUAUACAUACAUAUUGCCUACACAUUUAAAUAAUUUAUAAUCAAUAAUAUAUAAAUUACUUAAAAAUUUAUUUAAAAAAUAUAUCAUUAAUAUUUUUUAUUUUUUUUUAAAUUUUUUGCUCGUCGCAUUGUACGCGGUAUUACACUAGUAGUGCAUGAAAUGUGCAAGUGACCCUAAACAAUUUACCCCUCUAUAAAUACUCUUCUUGCUCUCUCUCUCUCUCUCUCUCUCUAAGGCCUCUCUCUCUUUAUAAGUUCUCUCUCUCUCUAUAAGUUCUCUCUCUCUUUCUCUCUCUUACUCUAGUAAAUCAUAUAUAGCAAUUAAUUGUGGUUUCAAAAGGAUAAACAUAUAUAUAUAAGAUCAAACUAAAUGGCAAGUGAGGGCACACUCACCUGUGUAGAGAUCCUACUUGCAAUCUUUCUCCCACCCCUUGGAGUUUUCCUUAAGUAUGAAUGCAAGGUAUGUAUAUUUAUAUGUGCGUGUGUGUGUAUAUAUAUAUAUGUAUACAUACAAAUUAAGUAAUAUUUACAUGUAAUUUUCUUAUAUAGAUCGAUAGUGUGCGUGAUAUAUGCAUGAUUCAUCUGAUCUUCACCAUGUACAUGAUGGACAUGAGCGAAAAUAUUAAUUCACAUGAUCUUUUCUACGAAAGUUAACACUUAAUUCGUCCUUAAAACUUUCACUUAUGUUAAAGAAACUUGACUUUUCCUGUAAAAAUUUAGAGACCAAGUUAUAUAGAUCCUAAUUAAUUUAUCAAUUUUUAUUGAAUAUAAGACCCACAAUAAUUAAUUAGUUUAAUCUUUGCUUUUGCAGAUUUAUUUUUUUUUUUCCCCCAAAAAAUUGCAAUAUUCUCACUCAUAUAUAAAUUUAUUGACAUAUGAUUAUUAUUAACUCUUAUUUUUAUUUUUUUGCUCUAUUUUUUUUUUCAAAAAAAAUAUUUAUAGGUUGAGUUCUGGAUCUGCUUGUUGCUGACCUUCCUCAUGUUCUUACCUGGAAUGAUCUAUGCCAUUUGGGUCAUCACCAAGUAAUUAAAUUUACUUUUUUUUUUUUUGAAUUUGGUCUUAUAUAUUAAUUAGUUGUAGAAAAUAAAGAGAUAAUUAUUUAAUUAAGCUGUUUAUUUCUUUUUGCAGGAAAUAGUUAUAUAUGGUGAUGGUGAAAAUAUAUAUAUAUAUAUAGGUUGCAUGGUGUUUGCACUAUAAAGCUUGUAAUUUAAUAAGUGGUUUUGUAUGACUUUAAUUUAUUUAUAUUUCUUAGGUUAUUAAUGUGUGGAGAGGUUAACUAAUUUUAUUCUGUGUGGAUUUAUAUGUAUCAUUAUUCAUGGACUUAGUUUUAAUUUCCAUGCAUGGUUUUUUUUUUUUAAUUAGUUGAUGAAUAAAUAAGUACUCCUUUUUUUUUAAGUUAAUUUGUUGUAGUUCAUAUUUGAAGCUCCUCUCUUGUUUGAGAAGUUAACGGUGAUGAUCAUAACUCUUGAUUAAUUAAUUAAUUAAUUAUGAAGCACAAAAUCAAAAUUAAUAAGCCCUAGAGUAAUUAAAUUCCAAAAGGACUUUACUUUUUAAUUUGCAAAAUUAAGAAAUAUCAUUUAUUAUGGCAGCUAUUAUUUUCUAUUAUUAAAGAAGAGUAAUUAAACCUAAAUUUUUAGUUUAAGUUAUCAAUUUUGACGUCCACGUCUUAGAUCUAUUAAAAUAUCUCGAGUUUACGUAUGAGAAAAAUUAUUGAAUAUUAAAAAAAAAAGAUUAAUUAAUUGCGCAUGUUUUCCUAUAAAGCAAUAAAAUUUGUAUAUUAAUUUCUAUAAAAUUUUAUGUAUAUUCCUAUAUAAAGUUUUAGUUAUCAAAUACAUCUCUUUAAAAUUAGAUAAUUUGACAGUGUGACCUUCUCCGCUAACUGAAGGUUAAAGUUGACAUUUUUUCCUUUACAGCAAAUAAAUUAAAUAACGAUUUUACCCUAUUAUCUUUUUAAUUAUAUCUAAUAGUAUUUAUUAUUUUUAAGGGUAAACUUCAAAUACCAAUACUCCCGUGGUUUCGUAUUUUUUCACUUUAGUACUCUGUCGUUUAAAAUGUAUCAAUUUAGUAUCAUGUGAUUUUAUUUUUCUAUUUUCGUCACCUUCUCCGUUAUCAAAUAUUUAUUUUAGUAUCUUUUAGUUUUAACUUUGUCACUAAAGUAAUGAAAAAAUAUAAUGAGAAGGAUAAUGAAAAGAAAAAAUUAAAUAACAGAGUAUUAAAUUAAUGUAUUUUGAAUCACAUGAUACUAAAAUAAAAAUAUAUAUAACUGUAGAGAUGAUACUUGAAGUUUUUUUUUUACUUUAAAAUAGGAUGGUGUUCAACUUGGAGAGUAUCUAUGAUUGAACAAAACCCUAUAAUAUAUAAGUGGGGACAAAACAGUCCCUAUCAUGAAACUGUCUCAUCCAGCUGCGUCCGCAAACGAUGGACGGAUGUGAUGGUCCCACGUCACACAGAAUCGUCCUACCAAAUUUCUUCUUUUUUUUUUUCCAUAUAUGCCACGUUAUUCACUAGCUAUUAAGAUCCAUCCAGCAUAGGAAAAAAGCUUCGCCGGAGAGUUUCCUAUGUGCAAUAAUAUUCUGCAUUCAAUAAUAGGUUGAAUAUUUUUUAUUUCUCAAAUUUUUUAAAAUAAUUGAAUAUUAGAUAAAAAAAUUAUGAAGGUUAAAUAAAGAUGAAAGUGACAUGAGCCCUACGAUUCGAAUCCUAGUUGAUUCAAAUUUUCAGCUAAGUUUAUUUCUUAAUGAAAUAAAACGAAGCGGAUAGUGGCGUGCUACCUAUCUCUCUUAAAAAAAAAAAAAAAAAAGUGACACGAGGCGACGAAUUAUGACUCUUAGGGCUUGUUUGAUUCAUCCAUUUUGGGUAUGGAAUGGAAAUCAGUUUGAUCAAAUUCGGUUAAUUUUGUUUGGUUCGCAUGAAUCGGUUUGGGAUUCCUACUCCGGACUGGAAUGGGAAUGGCUCAUUAGCCUUCAACUUGAUUCCGGUCUUCUAGCCCGGAUUGAGAUUUCAUCCAGAAGCCCACUAAGUUCUCGAAGCUCAUGUGACCAGCUCACCCUCCUUCUCUUCACCCCUUUCUCAUCAAAAAAAAAAAAAAAAAACCUAUCAUCUCUCAAAACCCUAGCCCUAACCCACAUCAAUAAAAAAUUUUAAAAAUAAAUUUGAUAUUUUUUUUGAAAAACUUAUUAGAGAAUAGUAUGAUAUUUUUCAUAAAUUUUAAAUAAUAUAAAUUUAUAUUUGAGAGUAAAAUUAGUAUUAUAGUAUCCUAUAAUUUUUUUAGUUUAUACGAAUCAAACAAUAAAAUGUGAAUAACUCAUUCCAAUUCCCAAUCCACAAAUAAACCAAACGUCUUGGGGGAGUGGGCCAUUUCAAUUACCAUUCCAAUUCAUUCCCAUUCCAUAAUCCAUUCCACUUCCACCCUUGAACCAAACAAGCCCUUAAUGUGGUACUAGUGAAGUUAUCCGCGCAUUACAGUAGAAUAAUGCUAUAGAAGACAAAAUAUAAACAAAAUAAAAUUUUAAAAUUCUUUUACUUAAAUGAGACUUCAAUAAAUACAAAUAGAAGAUGUAUAACAAUGUAGGUAUAAAUGUAGCAAUAUUUAUAAUUUUAGUAAAUAAAUUACGUAUAACAAUAAUAAAAAAAGCAACAAAAGAGUUUCUAUCCCAUACAUACCUUGAUCGCAUUGUCGACAUUUGGGAGGCAAAUCCCGAUUUUUACGUUGCCUUCGCCGCUAAUAUCGAGCUCCUUCUUAGUAACGAUCAUGUAUAUCUCGUACAGAUCCUAACUCCCACAUUCACUACUUCUUCUCCCUCACUGACUCCAAAUUCAUCGUUGCUUCCUCCUGCCAUGAUCUCCGAAACCUUAAUUUUAAUCGACACACAACUUUAAAAAAUAGAAAAAGAAUUAAAAUAAGUCACAAAACAUGAACCCCUCCUUAUGCGCCAAGAAAAAAAAAAGAAAAAAAGAAAACAAUACAAGAAAAAAAAAAAGUAUAAAGAAAUCUUAUUUUACUCAUUUAUUUUUGUGAAAUUAAUUUAUUUAGAUGACUGACUAUGUAAACACAUUAAUUGAGGGGUGGGGGUUAGGAAGAUGAAGCAUUGGGUGGAGAUGGAAUCAUGUAAACAUAUUAAUUGAGAGAGGUAGGGAUUAGAAAAAUAAAGUAUUUGAUGGAGAUGGGACUAUAUAAACACAUUAAUUUAGAGGUGGGUUAGAAAGAUAAAGCAUUGGGUAGAGAUGAGAGUGGGAAGAUGGAAGACAAGGGUGAAAGAAGAUUCGGGAUGUGGUAAAAAUUUAGAAAAAAUAAUGUACAGGUAUAUAGAGAUAUAGAUAACGGCAAAUGAGAUCGAUCGAUGUACUCAUGAACCAGGUUUAUGGAAUUGUACGUUAUUUUCUGGUGCAUACAGCGCGUGCUUAGCUGUGUGGGCCCCACGUUAAACGUCCAAGCAUAUGCAUUUACGCCUUCUUUUUAUUUUUUUUAAGGGUAUAUUUUUAGUUUAUUAUUAUCUAAAUUUAGCUUAUUGCAUUGUUUUAUUUUGGAAAAACUUCAGACACCACCCCUGCAUAUUCAUACUUUUUCACUUUAGUAUCAUAUGUUUAAAAUGUAUCAAUUUAGUACCCUGUGAUUUCGUACUUUCUCACUUUAGUAUCUUGUGGUUUAAAGUGUAUCAAUUUAGUACCCUGUGGUUUUAUUUUUAUCUUUUCAUCAGCUCCUCUGUUAAUAUUUCGUUAAAUUAUAUACCAAAAACUCCAGAUACCCUAUCUAAGUUUAUUGAAUAUUUACCUCAGUAUCCUUUAAUUUUAACUUUGUCACUGAUUUUUUUGUUCUCUGUUAAAAUUUCGUUAAAUUAUAUACAAAAAAGUUCAGAUACCCUAUCUAGGUUUAUCGAAUAUUCACUUUAGUAUCCUUUAAUUUUAACUUUAUCACUGAUUUAACAAAAAAAAAAUAGUGAAAUGUAUAAUGAAAAAAGAAAAAUGAAACCACAAGGUACUAACUUGAUGCACUUUAAACCACUGGGUACUAAAGUGAGAAAGUGCGAAAUCAUAGGGACUAACUUGAUAUACUUUAAAUCACAGGAUGCUAAAGUGAGAAAGUGUGAAACCACAAGAGGGGUAUUUGAAGUUUACCCUUUCGUUUUACUUCUUAUUUUAAUCUACUUGUUUUGAACUUGCUUCUUGUGACAUGUAAUGUCGUGUACAGUUAGGAGUCUUUUGGUUUGAUGUAAGUAGAAAUACAGUGUAAUUGAAUAUGCAGCAGUUAUAGCUAUUUAUAUCACGUUUGGAUAAGUGCAGUUGAAAGUGCUGCAACUGUAAAUAAUUUCGAACAACAUAUUACAUUGGGAUUUAUUAGACUUGAUUUAAAAUCUGUAUGUUGUCUGAAUCUAUACUUGAUUUAACCUGAUUAAUUUAAGCUAUAUGUUUUUUUUAAAAAAUAACUAUAUAUAGUAAUUAAAAUCUACAUUCAUAUGUUUAAAGUAAAGGGUUAAUUCCAUACAGAUCCCUGCAAAUUUAGUGAAUUGCAAAUAUAUUCGUACAAAGUUUAAUUUUCAUAUACCGUCCCUACAAAUAUAGUCAUAAUGUUUUCAAAUAUAUCCGUAAUAUUUUUACCUCUCUUACAUUAUACCUACUCGUUUCAAUCAAAACCUUAAUAAUGAAAACUUUUCUUUCUCUUCCUGGUUAGUCAAUGGAAACCCGUAACUUGAAUUUCUCCAUUUCCAUUCAUCAACAAGGCGUGUUGCUUCGCCCAUAUCAAACUCGUAUUGUUUUUCCAUUCAUUUUUCAUUAUGAUUUUUUUCCUUUUUUUUUUUUUGCUCAAAAGAAAAGAUUUAGAAAAAAAAAAAAAGUGAGAAAAGAAGUUGCAACAAUGGGGAAUGGGUUAGAUUUUAAAAAGGAAGAAGAUGAGAAAAAAAGAUGAUCAUUGAAAAUUUUUUGAAGGAACAUUUCUGUACCAUUAUAGCUGUUGUCGUUUUUUGAGGGACAUAUUUAUGAUGACAAAAUUGUCAUUUCAUUUAUUUGCUAUUAAAAUAUAAACAGUUCUCUAUUAAUCCCAAAAUAAAGGUAACGUACUCAUAAAGACAUUUCAUUUUUUAUCAAUAUAAUUUAACUUUAUUAUUUAAAUUAUUACUCGAAUUUUUAUGUCCAAACCCAACCCAAAUUUGAAUCCGAACAAACUAUUUUUUUGGACCGGAUUUUCGAGCGAAAUUUUUAAUCCAGAUCCGAUUAUUUUUUGGGUCGGACCAGAUCGAUCAACCGGGUCGGAUCAUAUUUUUCCUCCUCUACACAUGAGUGGGUAUGUAAACUUAGGGGCCGCGUGGUUGAAUAUAAUUGAAAAAAAAGUAUAAUAAGAAAUGUUUACGAUUCAAAAUACAGUAACAAAUAUAAUUACAUGUAUCUUUUAUUUAGUUUGAUAUACUAGAAAGCGCUGCAGUUCUAAAUAAUUUAUUUGGAUACAUUAAAUUAAAAGAUGCGCACAUUUACAACUUUUAUCUACUCAUAUAUAAGACGGUGAGAUUACCCCAAGCAUAAAAAAUAUUUUAAAAAAAUUAUUUAAAUAUAACUAAGCAAAUAUUCCGUAUAAAAUGUUGGGACUAAUUUGGGUAUAAAUCCAAGCGUUGUGUUGAGUCUCUGUAUUCAGUUCUAGCUGCAACAAUUGAAUUUAAGGAUAUCAAACAAAAUAUCGCAUUUAAAUGACUAAAAUACAAAAUAGAAAAAAAAUUAUAAAUAUUUAUUUUUUCACUUCUUUCAUUCAUACAUUUUAUACCUUCAAAAUUUCUGGUCGCUGCAUUUAGCUCCACAUUGUGAGAAUUACGUUAAUAUUUUAUCCAUUUUUUAUAAUUUAUACUGAAAAUACCCUUAAAAAAUAUUAUAUUAUAAUUUUAUAUUAUAUAUAUAUAUAUAUAAUAUAUAUAUAUAUAUAUAUAUAUUAUAUUUAAAAGUUAUUUUUUUAUGAAAUAAGUAAAAUAGAUUUGAUCAUUUCAAAAAAAUUUCUGAAAAUAUUUUAUAGUACAGUUUGGUAACUUGACACAACUAAGGGUCCGUUGGUUUAAUGUAAACCGUGAAAAAUAAUUUUUCAUAGAAAAAAUUUUCAGUGAAAAAAAAAAUUUAUAUUUACCCCGCAUUGUGAGAAUGACGUCAAUAUUAUUCUAUUUUUAUAAUUUAUACUGAAAAUAUUCUUAAAAAUAAUAAUAUAUAUAUUAUAUAUAUUAUAUAUAUAUAUAUAUUAUAUAUAUAUAUAUAUAUAUAUAUAUAUAUAUAUAUAUAAUACUAAUUUUUUUAUGGAAUAAUUUCAAAAAAAAUUCUGAAAAUAUUUUAGUACAGUUUGGUAACUUGACACAACUAAGGGACUGUUUGGUUUAAUGUAAAACCGUGAAAAAUAAUUUUUAGUAGAGAAUAAUUUUUAGUGAAAAAAAACUAUUACAUUUUUUAAUGCUUGGUCCGUAGAGAAAAAAAAUAGUUUUCCAUCAACAUUUGUUUGGCCAAAAGAAAAAAAAUUCACAUUUGUUUGGUUUGGUAAAAAAAAUCAAAUCAAAAAAUUUUACACAGCUUAAAUUUUUAUUUUUCGUCAAAAAACAGCAAAAAAUAAAAACUUUAAUUUUUCUCUAGUAUGUAAAAAUAUUUUUUAUGUAAAACUUUUGCGUCGAAUCAAACAAGUAAAAAGAUAUUUUUCAUAACGGAAUAAUUUUUUGAUUUAUUUUAUGCGGAAACAAACACGUCUCCUAACCAUAGUUAGUUAAUUCGGAUUCGGCAAAAAUUCGAUACGGAUAUAAUUCGGAUAAAAUUCGUCUUUUAAUUUUUAAAUUCGUUGAAAAAAACGGCUAAAAAACGGAUUCGGUAAUUAUUCGGAUACGUGAUUUAUUCGGAUAUUAUACGUUCACCAAUUAAAAAUUCGGGAUAAAAAAUUCGGCUAUAUAAUAAAUAUAUAAUAAUUAAUAUACUAUAAUAUAUUAUUAUUAUUAUAAUUUAUAUAUAUAAAUUAAAUAUAUUCAAAAUUAUAAUAAAUAUAUAUUAAUAAUAUAUAAGAGUUAUAUAUUUAGAAAUAUUAAUAAAUAAUUAUAAAUUUAUAAAUAAAAUAUUAUAUAAAUAAUCAUUUUAAUAUAUAAUAAAUAAUAAUAUAAUAAUUUAUAAAAUAAAAUUUUAUAUAUAAUAUAUAUAUAUAUACAUAUAUAUUUUUGGAUAUAAUGUGAGGGAGGUCCACAGUGGACCUCCCUCACAUGCGGUCCACGAGGCCAAAGUGGCCUCGUGGACCGCGCGCAUCCAUUGCCUUCAAAGCCCCGAUAUUUUUACUGUUCCGCUUUUCGCAUGGUUUCCGCGGACGACCAGGGCGGCGGAGGAGGAGACGAGUUCGGUACUUCGGCGACAACGCGACCCGCGAGGACCGCUGCCCUCUUGCUCCCGGCGCCGGCAAGGGCGGCGGAGGAGGAGGAGGACGACGGACGAGUUCGGCGACGACGCAACCUGCGAGGACAGCGACCGCGUGCGCCGAUUUUUUGGGCGAAUUGUUCGUUAAUCGCGAAUAAUUCGCGAUUAAUUUUUUUUAACGAAGAAAACGCGUUUUUUUACUAAUGUUUUGGAAAAAUACGAUAACCCCCGUUUAAUUCGCAUCUUCAAAAAUUCGCGAAUAAUUCGCGAAUUAUUCGCGAAUUUACUAACAUAGCUCCUAACCAAAUUGAAGGUUCCAGCAAUUACCUGAAGCUUCCAUUGCCACAAUCCUUGCUUGACACGUGGCAACAAAUGGACGGUGAGGAUUGGUUUGGCGGCGAGAGGAUCGAUCCCCAAACCAAUGGGGCAAUUAUAUUUUUUAAGUAUAUAUCCCUUCCGUACCCGUCCAACACGAGUGAGCUGAGACACGAGUGAGCUGAGACCGGCUCAUAUUCGGCCGUUCAUUAAACAAGUCAAACACGACCUGGCUUGAGUUAUAUUAAGUUCGCGUUUGAUUUAUUUAUUAAAGAACUGAACACGAACUUAUUCGCGAACAACAAGUUUGAUCGUCAAUUUUAUUACACGACCAAAAUUUGAAAAACAAAAAAUUAAAAAUUAGAAUCUUGAUCUAGCUAAUAAUUAAAAUGCAUAAAAUAUAAGUCUCUUUAUGUUUGUAUUGGCAUAAAAUCAAAAUAGUAAAAAUUUGCAAAUACAGAAAACUUUUAUAUAAAUACUUUUUAUAUAUUUUUUUUCUGAUUUCAAAAAAAUCUACAUUUUAUUUUCUUAAAAUUUCAAUAAUAUCUUUAGAAGAUUACGCCGUUGAUGGAGAGCAUGACCUAAUUCUGACGGAGGAGAGGUACUAAACAUUUAAAUUUUUUAAUGUCAAAAAAUACAAAAUAAAAGUACACCUCCCUCUCCCUCCUCAACUUUCAGACUCUAACGCCGUUUACCUCAGCCACGCUUCUUCUACUUGUUCUCUAUAAACGCGUGAUGAAAUAAAUUCCCCUACGCUUCUUACGGUUUGGGAAGAAACUGCCCAACUAUCUUUUAAGGAAAUGGGAUGUUGCCUGUGUGAGGGAGAAGAUUAAAUGCCAGCGUUGCACAUCUGAGCGACGGAGAUUAUACUGGUGCCAGCCACACGAUACACUAUUAGAAGGGUUGUUGCACCAUUUCUCAUCGCGUUGUUUCGUGGCGUUGCACUAUUAUUCCUGUUGCGAAUCGCGUAGUUCUUGUAAUGUAACUUCAGCAAAUUUAAUUUCUUAAAACCGAACAGCAAUCAUCAGGACUGGCGAAUAGCGGGACCAAUUUGGUCAAGAUUCCGAUGAGAGCGAGAUUGUGCAAAGCGCAAGGGACGUAUUUAGUGCCUGUCAGGACUGUACGUUACGGUAUACGUAUCUCAACGAAUACGCGAGAGGCGGAUGUAAACAACGGACAUUUUGGUUAGACGGCUAAAAAUCCGGUCCGAAUCUAUAAAAUUAAAAAAGAUGGUCCAUUCUUGCAAAAAUGCAAAACUAGUGAUUUUUUUAGCAAAUUGGCCCCCCAAAAAAUUAUAUUUUAGCUAAAUUAAAAAAAAAAAAAAAAAGAAGAUGAAAAGUGGAACAAAGAAGAGGUGUAAAGGAUACAUACAUGCAGGUGAAGGGAAUCGAACAUCCGCACGUGCGAAAAGUCGGCAACUCCGCGUAACGCGCGCCGCAGGCACGUGCGAAAAGUCGGCAAACCACGCAUCUGACGUGUGGAGAAGUCGGCAGUGUCGGUUUGGACGCGUUUUUUCACAAAUCGAUAUAUCUCAAAAGUCAAAUCCAACUUUAGAAGGAAAAAGGAAAAAAAAGAAAAAAAAAAUAGAGACUUAAAAGCUAAGAAAUUCAAAUAACUUAGAUCAAACUUAAACGGCAUGAAUCAUUACUUUGAUUAUUAAUUUAUUUAUUUUUGUCAAAAUCAAUAUGAAAGUUAAUUUCCAUGUUUACUUAUAAGGUGAAUUGCAUACAGCUCUACAUAAAUAUAUCAAAUAUUAAAUAUAUUUACAAUGUUUAGCUUCUCAUGCUUAUUCCUGCAAAAGUUCUAUCAUUUUCAAAUAUAUAUAAACCCGUUGUUAGGGUCUGUUAGAAACAUAUAGUUAAUUAUAAAUAAAAUAUUUAACCCUGGCAAGCGAUCAAACUAAAUUGACUAUCUGUCUUAUAUUAUUUGUGAUGUUAGAAAGAAAGAAGAUGACCGAUAAAAAUUUUUGGGAGAACAUUUCUACAUAAUUCUAACAGUUUGGGCUUUUGGAGGGACAUAUUUUUUAUGGCAAAAAUGUUAUCUUACUUCUCUUCUGUUAAAAAAAUAAACAGUGUUUUAACAACAACAAAUCAGAGGAAAAAAUAAAUAUCACUGAACUUUUAUAGGGAUAAAUAUGAAAUGUUGAGCUUUGUAGCAAUAUAUUUGCUAUUCAAUAUGUUUACAGAAAGCUAUAUGAAAUUAACCCUUACUUCUAAAUAGGGAUGUCGAUGUAUGAAUAUCUAAAAUUUUAUCCGGAUUUAUUGGAUGUUAAAUAGACGUGGUUUCGAAUAUGACUAUAAAAAUCAAAAACCCGACGGAUUUGUAUUUAGGCAUGAAUUUUGUCUAAAUCCAAUCCGAACGUAUAUUGAUUUUAUAUUAUAUAAUAUAUAUAAAUAUUUAACGUUAUAUUUGAGCUUGUAUUUUAAAAUUUUAAAUAUUACUGUAAAUCUCCAUAAUAAUAGACUCAUUAAUAAAAGUUUCAAUCAAGUUACUUUUAAUUACUUGUUGCUAUUUUUAUAUAUUUUGUUAUUUUUCAUGUCAUAAUAAGUGGAAUACACGCCCAGUCACUAUUAGGCUUCAUUGGGGAUUGCGGGAAAUUGCAUUACGUACGGUAAGAAAGUGCGAUAAAAAAAUAGCAUGUUUGUUUCCGUACGUAAUAUUGCACUCUGCAUAUUGCGAUGAGUCAAUUAUGAUAUAUUUUCUGUAGUCCCAUCGGAAAGCGCAGAAGUAUAUCCCUGUAUGCUUUUACCCCAGCUUUAUUUUAUCUAAUAGUAUUAGAUGAAUCUCAAUACUAAAUUAAGCCUUAAUCAAUAUCUUUUAACGGCUUUUAUAUAAAAUUAUAAAUUUAUUGUAGAUAGUGUAGAGAUUAAAAAAACAAAGUACAUUGUAGGAAGCAAAAGAAAUUUCAAAAUAUAGUAUAAUAUAGUGUAAUUAAGCCUACCAAAACUAUCUCUAUCAAGCUUUGAUUAAAACCGUCUCAAUCAAGCUAAGGUUGGAUAAAAUGUUGGGUAUUCGUAUCCAUCGACAUCCCUAAUAGGGAUGGAUAUGGAUCCGGGUUGGUGGAGUUUCUUUCUCGAUCCACGCCAAACUGGGGGUUACCUGGGAACUAAAAAAUAUAAAAAAAAAUAUAAUCCAUCCUGAACCCACCCUUAUCCAUCAAAUAAUUGAAGCAGAAGGCGAAAGAUUCCUUUCUUUUUUUGAUCCGUUUUGAUAUGCCAAAAAUCUGUAAAAAUUUCGCUGCUGUUAAAAAUCAAAAAUAGAAUUUAAGUGGGAACCAAAAAUCAGAUUAAAAUUAAAAUUAACCUGCUCUGAAUCUGUUCCAACCUGACAAAAAUAAAGCGGGACUUAGGGAACCCUCCCGCUCUCGGAUCUUUCCUGUUUGCAUCCUUAAUCCCUACAUAUCUACUUGCAUCAAUUUAUAUCCAACCUCGCUCACUCACGUGCCUCUCACGUGCCAACUCCCCUUUCCCCCCAUAUAAGACCUCGCACACACAUCCACCCACUUAGCCAAAUCUCUCUCUCUCUCUCUCCCUCUCUCUCUCUAGAGCUCUCCCUCUCUCUCUUAAUUUGUUGUAGUUUUGAAGCAAAGGGAGAAAUUAAUUGAAGGGAAAUAACAAUGGCAGAUGAUAGUACAGCAACAUGCAUAGAUAUCCUCCUGGCCAUCAUCCUCCCACCACUGGGAGUCUUUCUCAAGUUUGGUUGCAAGGUAUUGUAUUUAUGUAUUUAUGUAUGUAUAUACGGAGCCAGGCUGGUAUACUAUCGGUAGCACGGAGGUCUCCGUGCUAUCAAGUUGUUUUCAAUAAUACGGCUUCCAAAUCGACGAUCGGUUCCGUUAGGCUUGAUCUAUAUUAUUAAAAGUAUUUAAAAACUAAAUUUCAUAAUUUUUCGACAUCAUGUGGUUGAUGAUCAAAGGUCUCAAAAUUGACAAUUUUAAUGGUAGAUGUUAUGUGUUUGUGAAUUUAACGGUGUAAAACAAUCUAAAUCUGAUGAAAGUUUUAUAGAAAAUUAUUUUCACUAUUUAGAGUAAGAUCAGUAUUUCUGAUCUUAAAUUCAACUCUUUUAUCAUUAUUUUUUAUGAAAUUUUUAUUUUCAGUCGUUUAUUUUCAAAACUACUCGUUUGAUAGGUAAAUAAUAUCGAAAAAUUAUGAAAUUUAGUUUUCAAAUACUUUCAAUAGUGUAAAUCAAGUCUAAUGGAGCCAAUCGUCGAUUUGAAAACCGCAUCAUUGACAAUAACUUAAUAGCACGGAGGCCUCCGUGCUACUAAUAGUAUACCAGCCUAUCUGCAUAUACGUAUUGAGUUCAGCUACUAUGCUAUCAAGUGCUACCAAGUUUAUCAUCGUUAAAUCUAUCAUUUAAUCAUUUUUACCCGUUAGAUCAUACUAUUCAACUAAUCACUCACUCAGCCCUAGAGAAUCACUAUGAUUCUAACCGCGCAUCCUUUAAUUAAUCCAAUGGCCAAAAACAUAAUAGCACCAAUGACUUGUGCUGUUAAUUAAUAGUAUAGUAGCCUAAUUCUAUAUGUAUUCUUUAUUUUGUUGCAAAUUCAUACAGAGAUAGGUAGGUAAGGUAUUGUAUGUGUGCGUGCGUAUAUAUAGUACAUCUUUUAUGCUUUCGAAAGCACGAAAGCCUCCAUGCUUAUAAGUUAUUUCAAUGAUAAAAUAUUCGCUUCGGCGAUCGGCUCUGUUAGACAUGAUCUAUAAUAUUAAAACCAUAUAGAAAUUAAAAUUUAUAAUUUUUCGACAUUAUUUGUCAAGUAAUCAGAGGAUCUCAAUAAUGACUAUUUCAAGGCACGUUUGUAAAUUCUUCAAAUUAGAUACAGUUUCGAUAAAAUAAUUUACUUACCAUCAUGAACAAGAUGAAAGCAUUAAUCUUGUUCAUGAUGGUAAGUAAAUUAUUUUAUCGAAACUGUAUCUAAUUUUUCGACAUUAUUUGUCAAGUAAUCAGAGGAUCUCAAUAAUGACUAUUUCAAGGCACGUUUGUAAAUUCUUCAAAUUAGAUACAGUUUCGAUAAAAUAAUUUACUUACCAUCAUGAACAAGAUUAAUGCUUUCGAUUUGAAAUUAACUCUUUGUAUCACUAUUUUUAUGAGAUUUUUAUUUUUAGUCAUUUAUUUUGAGGUUACUCGUUCACUAUGCAAAGGAAUCAAAAAUUAUGAAAUUUAAUUUUUAAAUAGUUCUAAUUGCAUAUAUCAUACCUCAUGAAAUUAUUAUUUUUCGAUACAUUUACUAUAUAUUGAUCGAAGCAAUUCAAUGUUAAUAUUUUUAAUGACCAGUUAAUUAUUUUGAGUUUGCUGCUUCAAUAGUGUAGAAUAAUUCAAAUUAGUUUUUAUUUAAAAAUAAUCUGAAUUAUUUAACUAAAAUAAUAGUGUAUACCCCCUAUUUUUUGUAAGUUAUUUUUAAUUAAUUUUAACCGUUCAUUUUAUAAACCAUUUAGAGCUUAAAUCCAUCAUUAGUUAUUAGAUCGACUUUUUUUUAUUAUUAUUUUCAUGUAAAUUUCUCCUUACGAAUUUUAAAGGAGAAUAAUUCAUAUAUAUGUUUCUUUUUUAAAAUUUCUUUUUUUUUCCUAUUUUUUUUAAAAAUCAAGGUUGAGUUUUGGAUUUGCUUGCUCCUUACCUUUAUUAUGUAUUUACCGGGGAUCAUCUACGCAGUUUGGGUCAUCACCAAGUAAGUGAUUAAUCCCACCUCUCUAUAUAUAUCUUUUUUAAUUUAUUUGAUGUGUUUUAAAAUUAUUACUUUUGCAAAAUAAUUAAUUAAUCUUGUUUUUGCAGGAAAUAAUAAUAUGCCGUAAUGAAGCUCAUGGAUAUAUUCUUCUUCUUUUUUCUAUUUCUUGGUGAUGUGUAAUAAAUUGCAUGGUUUGUAAUUUGUUUCUUUAUAUUGCUUUUUUUCUUCUUUUUUUUCUUUUUUUUUGUAAAAUUGUUGUUUUAUGUGGGGAUGUAUGUGUAUGUGUGGUUAAGUAAUGGUACAAUUUUUCUCUGGUUUUAGGUGGUGAGUUAAAUGAGGCCAUUUAUUGUUUCUCUUUUGUGUACUAUUCUUUGGAAAUUAUUAGUCCUUGUUUUUGUUUGGUUUCCAAAGCAUCUUAAUUUUCUACUCAUGCAAAAAAGGGACAAAAAAAGUCUACAAUAUUUGAUUAUUUUAAUAAAAAAAGAUUUAUAAUUAUGCAAUUUGAUUUCACUUUAUGUAAUACUUUUUCUAUUCGAGAAGCAGAAGCCGAAUUCAAAAUAUCGAUUUAAUAAAAAUUUCUUAGAAUAUUUACGAAAUAUUUUGAUUUGAAGUGAUUGAUUUUUAAGUAAUAUUAUAAUAGUUCUGUUCAAACAACAUUUAUACAAAAAUUCUAUAUUAAAUGGAGCUUACCCGCUUAAUUUUUGCUAAGAUAUCAAUGGUUGGGAAAAGAAAAGUGAUGGAACCUCUCUCCAUCUUGGAGCAUGGAAUAAUUAAAGCCAACACCUUUAUUUUGCCAAGAAAGAUUUCAUGGAUGCACACUCCAUUAUUAUCAUAAAAAAUACUUUUAAAAAUCUACAUUUUGACUAUUAAAAUUUAAAAAUAUUUUUAAAAAGUUACGGUGUCAACAUAGGUGACGAAAUGAUCAGAUUAUCUUUAUUUGUUGCAAAGAAAAAAAAAAAAACCAUCUCAAAAGUUAUUUUUGGUAUGUCCAAUCAUCAAUUAUAGAAAAACAGAUAAAACAUUAACAGAACUCUGACGUCACAGGUCCUAAAUGCAUAGACUUAAAAUUUAGAGCUGAAAAAAUAUAGAUUUUUGAAAAUCGAAAGAGAAUUAUAAAAAAAGCAGGUAUUUAAAAAAAAAAAAAUUCAUAUAAAGUUUAGCCUUCUUUAUUUUUAAUUUCUUGGCCCCAUAAUGUCCUUUGGAGAUGGACUUGAUGAAUUGAAGGGUCACCAACCUCUUUAAUUGUAAUUAUAAUCCAACAAAGUAUUAAAAUGGUCCCAUUUUGUCUUUGUCCAUGGCCUCUCUUUCAAAAGGAAAGCUCACCCUCAUCUCUUUUUUUGCAUCAUGUGAUUCUCUUUUAAUUCUCAUAACUUCUUCUUCUUUUUUUUUUUACUUUUACUCCUUUUUAUCUUUCUUUUAAGACCUCUUUCUUUCCUCCUUUAUACUCCUUUAUCUUGUUUGCUUUUUGAGGAGUUUUAUAGAAGCUGAUCAUAUGAAAAGUCGAAGUUCUAAGUUCAAAACCUAAUUAUUUCAUAUUUUUAAAUUAAUUAUUUUUUAAAAUAAUAAACAAAAUAGAUAGCAUUAUGCCACUCUCACAUGCACUUUAUCUCGUGACUCAAAUAUGCACCUACUGCAAGAAAAUUUCAAACAAGGNAAAAAAAAAAAAAAAAAUCCUUUGUUUUAAUAAAAAUAUAAAAUUUAGGCUUAAUUAUAAGAACCUCACAUGCACUUUAUCUCGUGACUCAAAUAUGCACCUACUGCAAGAAAAUUUCAAACAAGGUCAAUUUUUUUUUACACUUUAGUUUUGGAUCAAAUAGGAACUAAUAAUUUUGGAAUUUCGUUAGCAUUUGAUGGAAGCAUAUAGUAACGGUGAUGACAUGGUAAGAUCAUAUGACACUAAAAACGCUUAAAAUCUCGCACAUGAAUGCUUUUCUAUGGUUUAUCUUAAAUUUUGAUACUUACAGGUGUACUUCAAAAAGCUUAAAGGAGCUUAAAAUAUGUUUACCUCAAAUACUACCCUUUAAAAUUGACCCAAAAAAAAUUCUAAGGAAGAGCCUAUUUCAGACAAACCUAAAGUGCAUGAUUGAUAUUGUUUAAUUUUUUUUUGUUUUUUUUAAGACAAAGGAGUAUUUGAUAUUUUUUUUUUUAUAUAAAACUCAUGAGUAAGUUAUACGGUUUGAAACUGAAGUUGUACUGUUUGAGAAGUUACAACUCAAUCUCAAAUAGUGGUUCAACUUAGCCACAGAGAAUGUAGCUUCUUCUUCUUCUUUCUUCUCCACUUCAUAGCCUUCCUACUAGUGGCCUAAUCGCCUUCCUAGAAAAAGAAAUAUAUUUCUUUUUCUUUUUUUCUUCUUUUCUUUCACCCUCUGCAUCAUUUUUCGCUACCGUGCCCCCUUCUCGCACUCUGUCGCAGCAGCCAACCCAGUCCCAACAUGUUCUCCCUCCUCGUCAUCCUUAAAUCUUGCGAUUCUCUUGUCGCCGUCACUAUCCACGACUGCAUCCUCCACCAUAACCUCAUCUUCGCGAUCUGUAUCAUAUCCAAGCCGGCAUCACUACCAUCGGCAUCGGCAAAGAUGCGGACGAGGUAGGAGAGAAGUGCAACGUCGAAAUAGGAACAGUAAAAAAGAAAGAGAGAGAGAGAAAGCGAGAGAAGAAAAAAAGGUAGAAACAGCGAGGAGCGUGAUCUAUACCAUAAGGAGACGGCGUUACCGCCACCAGCGACAACAGAAGUAUGGACGAAAUAGGAGAGAGACAGGCAGCAUUGACAUGAAGGCAAUAGGAGGAAGAGGAAGCGGAAGAACAGAGAGGAGAGGCGAAAAAAGGAGAAACGAAGGGGAAAAAAAAAAAAGGAUAUUUAAAUUAAUUUACUAAAAAUUAAGACCUAAUCUGCAAAAUUCAAAAAAAUAACAAAUUAUUACAAAAAAGUAAAACUUUGGUACAUUUUUUUUACGCAAAUUAGCCAUAUAAAUACCAUUUUUUUAGAUUAUAGUUAUAUUGGGACCAACCAUAGCACAGGUAACUUAAAAGUUUUUUGAAAGAUAUUCGAGACCCCAAAUACGAAAUCUAAUUACUUCACAUUUCUAACUAAGCUCAUUUCUAAACAAAAAUUGAACAAAACGAAUAACUUAAAGGAGAAUAUUUCAAAUAAUUUGCUUGAAUCAGAACCANAAAAAAGGAAAAAAAAAAAAAGAGUUAGAAGAGAAACUCAUAUCCUCUCCCAUGGAUGGGAACUGCAGAGAAAGGAGAAAAUCUCUCUCCAGAUACUAUAUUACUUUCUUUUCGGGCGAAUGAGUCUUAAAAUGUCAAAGACGCAAUGCCUGACCCAUGUCCCCAAUCAAAUUAUGCCCCAGGUUCACCCAUCACAUCUUAACUUUUUUUUUAAAAAAAAAUAUUAUACUUUUUUUCCCCAAAAAAGAUUUAGUUAGUUCGAGACAUAAAUGAUGUGAUGAAAUAUUCUAUUUUAAGCAAUCUCCCCUUAAAUCAGUGAAAAUAUGAACUACUCUGAAAAGAAUCUCUCUAAUACGUCGUAAACGACAUAACACAUCAGUUCAACCGCAAGAACAAGUAAUAAAGUCAAAUUGCACAGUUUAUCGAAUUGAGGCGAACCCAAGAUGAUCAAUUUGGAUACAAAAUCUCCGAGCCUCUGAGGCAAUUUCACAAAGAGUAAAAGAAAUCAUAAAGUUGCGUAAUCAUGUUUAAUUGAAAGUCUCGUCGACCAAAGGGAUCAGAAGAUUUGAUAUCCGGGGUAAGUUGAGCUCCCGAUACAUUGGACCGUAUGAGGUUUUGAAACGUAUCGGCCCGGUAGCAUUCAACUUGCCCUACCACCAAACUUAUCGAGUGUACACAAUAUUUUUCACGUAUUGGUCCUCUGAAAGUACAUCCACGAUCUGACUCAUGUGUAGAACGCUACAUCUUUGGAGCUAAGGGACAACUUGAGUUUUGAAAAGCAGCCUUUGAGGAUUUUGGCUCGCGAGGUGAAGAAACUGCGGAACCAUGAGAUUCCCGACGUAAAGGUGCUUUGGAGCAACCACGAUGAACGCGAGGCCACUUGGGAGUUAGAGAGCGCACUGCGGGAGCGCUAUCCCCAUCUUUUUCAGAUGGAGACUUGAUGUACCUUAUUUUCUGAGUUUCGCGGACGAAACUCCUUUUUAGGAGGGGUGAAACCAACUUAAUCUGUCACACCCCGAAUUACACAUUCCUCGGGCACACAGACAAAUUCGCCGUAUACAAAAAAAAAUUUUCUAUAUACGAAGCAAUAGUUGUACCUAUAAAACAUACAAUACUACAAACAGUAGUAUAGAGCUGCGAGAAGAACCAGUAACAAAAAACAAACUGAGUUUCAUAUACAUACGUCAAAUUCAAGAUACAAAACUACUCGCACUUGCGAGUUAAACGCCUGUAUGUACAUGAACUCCAACCAGAAACAACUACCUGCUAUAGGGGCACCUCUAGCUCGGCUCGUCUGGUGGGGCUCUAACUCGCGACGCCCUUGCCUCGAUCCUGAUCAGCAACAGCAGCAGCCAAAGACGAUGGCUCUGCAAAAACGGGGUAGCAACAGGGCGUGAGAACUACUGUAAAAACAAGUAGUCCUCAGUGGGUGCCGCCCUCAACAUCAUCGGUUCACCCACUAAGUCUACAGAAGGGAGCAAAGAUAUUAAUAAAUGCUGAGCUACAAGUUAUUACACUAUAAUGCUCUAAACUAACCUACUGUAGUGAUGUCAAUCUCAACCCAAUCUCUUUAGGAACUGUAAACAUACCCGUCCCAGGGACUGUGAAUACACCCGUCCCGCCCAGUUUGGACUGUCCAGCUACCUCUACACUAACCAGUCUGUGGAGAACAAGUCCAACCGGCAUGAACGACAUCAACGCGAAAGCACAGCGCCCGUCUCCUGAGUCGCACUCGUGAGAGCUACCCAACCGAGUAUACAGCGUAUCUCUGUCGAGCUAAAUCCGGCUCUCACAAGCCUAAGUCAAGUAACCGACUCUAACUGGUCUAACAACCAACAGGUCACGUGCCCUCGGCAUAAUCCGACACCUAAAUGGCGAUAUGGAUCCACCGUCAACCCCGACGGCAUCCAACAGUCCGGAGCAGUCUGAACGCUACUGUAAAACUACGCUAGGCAACCCAGCACAAGCGUAACUGAACUCUAAACUGCCAGGGGUAUCCAUCACACCAAUACUGCGAUGAUACAACUAGAGCUAAAUCAGGUAGUGUGAACAGGUGACAGGUCCAAAUCGCCGAUUUUCUCCUAAUUCAAUUUUCAAGUCCAACAUGUAUAGUUUAACUAGAUUCAGAAACAUGCUUCAAAUUCAGACUUCAGCAAAUAGGCUACUCAAUAAAUUUAAGCUAGUACAGAGUAUAAACAAUCGCAAACUCUACAUGUUUACUAAUCUCUACUUAGGAGUAAACUCGAUGAAAACCCACCUCAAAUACUAACUCCUAGCAGCGAAGGGAGUCUCGAACCAAUAAUAAUCCCUGCUGGAUCAAUUAAAAUCCUCCAAGUCCAAAAAUCGAGCUAUCUCCAAGCUCUACGCAUUGAAAUCCGUCAAUUCUGUCCAAAUAUAACAGCAGCAAAGUAAAAUAGGAGUUCGAUCAAGCUAACCUUCACCAAAUUCAACAAUCUUGGGCUUCGUGGAUUCCUCUCGAAGUUCUGAAUCCAACGAACCAAGUUUCGUUGCAAUCCGACACUCCUACGUCGCGCACGAGCCGAAACGCCGACUGUCGAUGCUGGAAUUCUGCAGGAACCGCACCCUAGCUCGAAAUUGAUGGAGCUUGAAGUAAAUAAAGUGAUUUCGAUGGAUCACUCACCUCGAAAACCCCUCUAGAACCGGCACAGCGUCGACGACGGCGAAAAUCCACACUCAUCCAGCCUCCUCGCAGCACCACGACGACGAAUACACGCUCGAACGGCACCGCGGCGCGACGUCGCCGACACCCGAACUCUACCCAAGCUCCUCCACUACCCACGUCCAGCACAAGGAGAAGAGAAAGAGUAAAAAAUCCUCUCCUCUGUUCUCUCAAUCCUAUAUAGAGAGGGAGAAGGAAUGGUAAUACAAACGAGGUAAAAAAGACUGAAUUACCCUCUCACCUACCACCGUGUACCGGUACACCUCCGAUGCUGUACCGGUACAGAAAGUGUACCGGUACAACCCUGAUGUUGUACCGGUACAACAAGCAGAGAAUCUGCAAUUCGCAGAUUCCAAUGCUAACUCCUGCUCUCGCGUCCCCGCUGAGUCCGUUUUGCGUCUAUUUCACGCCAACGAGACUCGGACUCGUCCCGACACCCUCACGGCGUGUCGACAAGUCUCAAAAGCUGAACACCAGGGAUACUAUACCCUCCCCCGCUACAAAAAAUUAUGUCCACUAAACUUAAGCAUACCUUAGCUCAAGUAUCAAACAAAUAGGGAUAGGACUCUCUCAUCACCGUCUCUAGCUCCCAAGUCGCCUCCCGCUCUUCGUGAUUACUGCACUGCAUUUUUACAUACAGUAUGACCGAUUGCGCAAUUCUUUCAUCUCCCGAGCAAGAAUCCGUAACGAUUGCUCCUCGUAUCUCAGAUCCUUGCCAAUCUCUAGUGGAGUGAAGUAGAUCACGUGAGAAGGAUCGAACACGUAUCUCCUCAAUGCCGAGACGUGGAAGACAUCGUGGAUACCGGUCAGUCGGGAAGGUAGAGCAAUCCUAUAAGCAACUGAUCCAACUCGCUCCAAUACCUCAAAAGGGCCAACGAAAUGUGGACUGAGCUUUCCACGUACUCCGAAUCUGCGAAUCCCUCUGGGCGGCGAGACUUUAAGAAAAACAUGAUCUCCAAUCUGGAAUUCUAAGUCUCGUCUCCUGGUAUCGGCGUAGCUCCUCUGGCGGCUCUGGGCUGUCAAAAGGUGUCGUCGAACAACUCUCACCUUUUCCUCAGCCUCUAGCAAAACCUCAGGCCCAAGCGUCUUCCUUUCACCCACAUCACUCCAACACAAAGGGGAUCGACAUCUGCGUCCAUACAACGCCUCAAACGGAGCCAUCUGGAUACUCGCUUGAUAGCUGUUGUUGUACGCAAACUUAGCCAGUCUCAAAUGUCGAUACCACCCUCCUCCAAAGUUCAGGACGUAUGCUCUCAACAUGUCCUCUAGAGUCUGAAUGGUCCGCUCUGACUGACCAUCUGUCUGUAGGUGAAACGCCGUGCUGAACUGCAAUUGUGUACCCAAGGCUGUCUGCAAACUCCUCCAGAAGUGUGAUACAAAACUCGGAUCCCUAUCAGAUACGAUCGAAAUCGGCACGCUAUGCAGCCUAACAAUCUCAUCUAGAUAUAGCUGCGCGAGUCUCUCUCUGUAUCAGGUGGUCUGAACUGGUAGGAAGUGAGCAGACUUAGUUAGUCUGUCCACUAUCACCCAAAUCGCAUCAUAACCACCCUAUGCUCUCGGCAAUCCCACGACGAAGUCCAUCAUGAUCUACUCCCACUUUCACUCGGGCACUGGCAGACUCUGAAACUUGCCAGCAGGUACCUGAUGCUCGGCCUUCACCUGUUGGCAAGUCAAACACUUAGCCACAUAUCUGCCAAUGUCCAUCUUCAUUCCAUUCCACCAAAAAUGUGCUUUUAAAUCCUUAUAUAUCUUAGUUCCUCCAGGAUGAACCGUAUAAGGUGAAUAAUGAGCCUCCCUCAAAAUGUCCUCUCGGAUCCCUGAAUCCACAGGUACACACAAUCGGUCCCUAUACCGUAGUACUCUCGAACUGUCCACAGCAAAACCCUCAGCCUGUCCCUGUCAAUCUGCUCUCAAAUCCUCGACAAGUGUGGAUCUCCACUCUAUUUCUCUCGGAUCCUAUCCAACAAAGUGGGCUGCAAAACCAUAGAUAUCAGUCUUGCAAUAGAUCCAGGGGACACUAUCUCGAACCUCAACCGCUGUAGCUCCUCGAGUAACGGCCUCUGCUGAGUAAUCAAUAAGCUCAAGCUCUGCACUGCCUUCCUGCCGCGCAUUGAAGAUCUGUUUGAUCAGCUGCAAGGAUUUUGUGUCUUUUCGAAGAUUGAUCUCCAGUCAGGUUACCACCAGCCGAGGGUGAGGGCCGAGAAUGUUCCCAAGACGGCUUUUCGGACUCGGUACGGGCAUUAUGAGUUUACGGUGAUGCAUUUUGGAUUGACGAAUGCCCCUGCCGCAUUUACGGAUUUGAUGAACAGAGUGUUCAAGUCGUUAUUGGAUAGAUUUGUGGUAGUCUUCAUCGACGAUAUCUUGAUAUACUCCCGGAGCGAUGCCGAGCAUGAGAAGCACUUGAGGAUUGUGCUACAACUUCUACGAGAAAAGUUGUAUGCCAAGUUAAGAAGUGCGAGUUCUGGUUACGAGAGGUUGUUUUCUUACGCCAUGUGAUUUCUACAGGAGAAGUAGCAGUGGACCCGAAGAAGAUUGAUUCUAUUCGGGAUUGGCCUAGACCGACGGCGGUGACUGAGGUGAGGUGUUUCCUGAGACUGGCAGGGUAUUACCGUCGGUUUGUGGAAGACUUUGCGAAGCUUUCCACACCCCUCACUCGAUUGACUCAAAAGGGGAUUCGUUUUGUCUAGAAUGAGGACUGUCAAAGGAGCUUUGAUGAGUUGAGACAGAGAUUGAUGUCAGCUCCUAUCCUUACCCUUCCAGUGAUGUAUGUGAAAGGAAGACGCUUGGGUCUGAGGUUUUGCUAGAGGCUGAGGAAAAGGUAAGAGUUAUUCGACGACACCUUUUGACAAUCUAGAGCCGCCAGAGGAGCUACGCCGAUACCAGGAGACGACUUAGAGUUCCAGAUUGGAGAUCAUGUUUUUCUUAAAGUCUCGCCGUCCAGAGGGAUUCGCAGAUUCGGAGUACGUGGAAAGCUCAGUCCACGUUUCGUUGGCCCUUUUAAAGUAUUGAAGCGAGUUGGACCAGUUGCUUAUAGGAUUGCUCUACCUUCCCGACUGACCGAUAUCCACGAUGUCUUCUACGUCUCGGCAUUGAGAAGAUACGUGUUCGAUACUUCUCACGUGAUCGACUUCAUUCCACUAGAUAUUGGCGAGGAUCUGAGAUACGAGGAGCGACCGUUGCGGAUUCUUGCUCGGGAGACGAAAGAAUUGCGCAAUCGGGUCAUCCCGUAUGUAAAAGUGCAGUGAAGUAAUCACGAGGAGCGGGAGGCAACUUGGGAGCCAGAGACGGUGAUAAUGAAGUUCUAUCCCUAUUUGUUUAAUACUUGAGCUGCGGUAUGCUUAAGUUUCGCGGACGAAACUUUUUAUAGUGGUGGAGGGUAUAGUAUCCCUGGUGUUCAACUUUUGAGGCUUGUCGACAUGCCGUGAGGGUGUCGGGAUGAGUCCGAGUCUCGUUGGCGCGAAAUAGGCGCAAAACGGACUCAGUGGAGACGCGAAAGCAGGAGUUAGCAUUGGAAUCUGCGAAUUGCAAAUUCUCUGCUUAUUGUACCGGUACAAUAUCAGGGUUGUACCGGUACACUUCUGUACCGGUACAGCACCGGAAGUGUACCGAUACACGGUGGUAGGUGAGAGGGUAAUUCAGUCUUUUUUAUCUCGUUUGUAUCACCAUUCCUUCUCCCUCUCUAUAUAGGAUUGAGAGAACAGAGAUGAGAGGAUUUUUUACUCUCUUCUCCGUAUGCUGGACGUAGGUAGUAGAGGAGCUUGGGUGGAGUUCGGGUGUCGUCGACGUCGCGUCGCGGUGCCUUUCGAGCGUGUAUUCGUCGUCGUGGUGCUGCGAGGAGGCUGGAUGAGCGUGGAUUUUCGCCGUCAUCGACGUUAUGCCUGUUCUAGAGGGGUUUUCGAGGUGAGUGAUCCAUCGAAAUCACUUUAUUUACUUCAAGCUCCAUCAAUUUCGAGCUAGGGUGCUGUUCCUGCAAAAUUCCAGCGUCGACCGUCGGCGUUUCGGCUCGUACGCGACGUAGGAGUGUCGGAUUGCAACGAAACUUGGUUCUUGGAUUCAGGACUUCGAGAGGAAUCCAGUAAACCCAAGAUUGCUGAAUUUGGUGAAAGUUAGCUUGAUCGAACUCCUAUUUUACUCUACUACUGUUGUAUUUGGACAGAAUUGACGGAUUUCGAUAUGUAGAGCUUGGAGAUAGCUCGAUUUCUGGACUUGGAGGAUUUCAGUUGAUCCAGCAUGAAUUAUUAUUGGUUCGAGACUCCCUUCGCUACCAAGAGUUAGCAUUUGAGGUGGAUUUUCAUCGGGUUUACUUCUAAAUAAAGAUUAGUAAAUAUGUAUAGUUUCCGAUUGCUUAUACUUUAUACUAGCUUAAAUUCACUGAGUAGCCUAUUAGCUGAAGUCUAAAUUUGAAGCAUGUUUCUGAAUCUAGUUAAACUAUACAUGUUGGACUUUGAAAUUGAAUUAGAAGAAAACCGACGAUUUGAACCUCUCACCUGUUUACACUACCUGAUUUAGCUCUAGUUGUAUCAUCGCAGUAUUAGUGUGAUGGAUACCCCUGGCAGUUUAGAGUUCAGUUACGCUCGUGCUGGGAUGCCUAGCAUAGUUUUACAGUAGCGUUCACACUGUUCCGGACUGUUAGGUGCCGUCGGGAUCGACGGUGGACCCAUAUCGCCGUUUUGGCGUCGGAUUGUGCCGACGGCACGUGAUCUGUUGGUUGUUAGACCAGUUAGAGUCGGUUACUUGACUUAGGCUUGUGAGAGCCGGAUUUAGCUCGACAGAGAUACGCUGCAUACUCGGUUGGAUAGCUCGCACGAGUGCCACUCCGGAGACGGGCGCUGUGCUUUCGCGUUGGUGUCGUUCAUGUCGGUUGGACUUGUUCUCCACGGACUGGUUAGUGUGGAGGUAGCUGCAUAGUCCCAACUGGGCGGGACAGGUGUAUUCAGAGUCCCUGAGACGGGUAUGUUUACAGUCCCUAAAGAAAUUGAGUCGAGAUUGACAUCACUACAGUAGCUUAGUUUAGAGCAUGAUAGUGUAAUAACUUAUAGCUGUAGAUUUUAUUCCAGCAUUUAUUAAUAUCUUUGCUCCCUUCUUUAGACUUAGUGGGUGAACCGAUGAUGUUGAGGGCGGCACCCACUGAGGACUACUUGUUUUUACAGUAGUUCUCACGCCCUGUUGCUACCCCCUUUUUGUAGAGCCAUCGUCUUCGGCUGCUGCUGUUGCUGAUCAGGAUCGAGAUAAGAGCGUCGCGAGUUAGAGCCCUACCAGACGAGCCAAGCUAGAGGUGCCUCUACAGCAGGUAGUUGUUUCUGGUUGGAGUUCAUGUACAUACAGGCGUUUAACUCGCCAGUGCGAGUAGUUUUGUAUCUUGGAUUUGACGUAUGUAUAUGAAACUCAGUUUGUUUUUAGUUACUGGUUUUUCUGGUAACUCUAUACUACUGUUUGUAGUAUUGUAUGUUUUACAGGUACAGUUAUCGCUUCGUAUACAGGAAAAAUUUCUUUGUAUACGGCAAAUUUGUCGACGUGCCCGGGGAACGUGUAAUCCGGGGCGUGACAGAUUAAGUUGGUAUCAGAGCUUAGCUGUAGAUCGUUGGGACCUAGGAACCCUAAGUUGGCAAACCUUAAGAAGGCAAGGCGCGAGAGGCGUGAUUUAUCGCGAAAGUCAAUGAUUCAUUGUUCUAAUUCCUCCUAGAGUGGAGAGAGUGAUUAGAGGAGUUCCUGUUUUGGCCUGGAAAAUUAUGUUGGCUGCAGACGACAUAAUUUUGAGAAGAAACCGGAACUGCCUUCUAGACUUUCAUCGGAUUAGGUCGAGAGUGUUUGUUUUGGUAUCUGACCUUGUUUUGUUCUUUGCAGCUAUGUAUCGUCGCCGAGGUCGACCGUCGCUCAGGGAUCGCGCCGCACCGCCUGAGAUGCCUGAGCAGGCAGAGCCGAGUGCACCACCAGAGGCCAGAGCAUCCCCUGAUUUUGGUGCACAGAUAGCCGCCCUGACAGAGGUGACGAGGCGGCAGGGGAAGUAGUUGGAGAGAUUGUGUGAGAGGGUGGUUCCGCCACAGGGUUCAGUACCGGGAGCACCAGAGCCGUCGGUUCCACGUCCGACUACCCCAGUGGCAGCACCAGCCGCAGCUGUACCCCCGCCAGUGGAUAUCCCCGCAGCGCCAGUUGCGCCUCCUAGAGGGCCGGUACCGAUGACUGAGGCCGAGCAGGAGCGGUUGACAGAGAGGUUGGCUCCUUACCGCCGUUUUGAUCCGCCGACCUUCGAUGGCAGUUGCACUGAGGUCUGGGUUGUUGAGAGCUGGGUCAGUGCGAUGGAGAAGCUAUUCGAGGAUUUAUUCAUUCUUGAGAGGGAGCAGGUAAGAAAAGCUCUCCAUCAACCAACAAAACCUCCACCAAAACAGCCUAAAAUUAAGAACUGAAUAUGAUGCUGCUUAGUUUGCCCAGCCUACCGAAACAGGGAUUCUGAUACAGAGUCACCAUAAAAUGGAGUCGAUAAUUGUGAAGAAAGAAAGAAACUUCUUCGGCUGCUCUCUUAAAAUACCAGUUCCACCAGAACUCACGUGCGCAGGAAGUUCAAGGCUUCCACAUUUUUAAUGGAUUAGUGCUGGAAAUAUAAGCGAGCCAACGAGAAUCAGUCGUGGGUACGUAACUGGAAUAUUGGUUCCACCAUAGGUAAGUUAAAAGGGAACAGUAGAUACGAAGAUUACAUAUGAAGUGAAAAGGUAAAUAAUUCGGGUUUAUAAGAGAGGUAGUGAGGAUGGGAAACUAAGAGAUGUAAAUUGAUUAGAUUAUAAGCCUCGAUAUACAGGAAGGAUAGAAAUAAGUACAGGAUGGUUCCAACUUCCAGUAAAAACGCUAGACAAGGAUGAGAGGAUUUUCUUGUAAAACCAGAAACAGGAGAGGGAAAGACAACUAAUAGAUACAUGCAUACAUAGUGGAAAUAAGAUUAUUAGUAACAAACGAUUUUGGAAGAACAUUGCUGAUGGAGAGGUCCUAAAUGGUGGUGAUGUAAAAGGAUAUUUAGGGAAAAGCAGAGAAAGGUUUGAGAAAAUUUGCUCAAUGCUACCCACUAUUUCCUCAAUCGAAUGCUCCGCUAUCAAAGAAGUGAAUUGUAUGACCAUAUAAUAUGUUGUAGAAUCUUUCCUUGAAAGAGAUGACAGCCUGUUUGAACGUCAGAAUAAGUUAUCUAAGGAUAAAAACAUAUUCAGUAUGAGUAUUUUCUUAUAUGAUCGGAAGCAAAGAGUUUGAUUUUACUUCUAAUUCGCCUCCAAGAUGAUUUUGUUUUGCAGAAAAAAUGAACUCAGAAGGUGGAAUGUAUUCCAUUCCAGUCAUUUGAUCGCACUUUUCAUCUACCAAACACUACAAACUUCUCGAGUAAAUCAAAGAAAUAUACUGAACAAUAUAUUAAUGCAUCCAAACAUGUCUAACGUGAUUUUUCUAGAACACUAUUUUGAACAUUCUCAGAGAAAUUUAAAAAAAAUGUGGAUAUUUUCAGGUCAAGUGUGUAGUGGUGGUUCUCGCAUGAUGUGAGGUGAUGUUUAUCAAUAAUUCUAAUCACAAAGAAUCUAGGAUUAGCAGAAACUCAAAAGCCCACCGACCAAAUUUUCCAGCACAAAAUUUUAAGACAUUUCCGAUUCGACACUGUAACUGAAUUUUCAGGGAACAUUCCCAUCAAAGCAAACAUGCUUCUCUAUCUAGUCUUUGUAAAGAUUUGCAUACACUAGCAAAUGCCGUUACUGGUAAAAUCUCAUCUCAAGUGAAUACGAGAUCUCGUAUAAACUAAAAAAGGCACGACGUCUAGUAAAAUUCAAGAAACCCAGCACCACUACAGCGAUCGGAUUUCGCCCUGCACGAAGUCUAUAUUCCUAAUCCUAUGAUACAUACUAUGAAAAGCAACAAUAACUAGCUAAGCAUGUUGAUUCACAAGAACACACAAAACAUACAAAAUUUGCGAAAGGGAAAUAGGGGAGGUCAUCGGAUAAAUGCGUGCGGCAAUUAACAGUGCGCGGCAAUUAACAGUGCGCGCCUCUAACUCGAAUUAUUCUAUAUAGAAAUCAUUAGACUGUAAAGGAAAGAGGAGCUCUUUUUCUAAUGUUCGCGGCACGCGUCCUAACAAGUCGAGUUCAUCCGAAUUAACAAGAAUCAUACUUCAAAUUAGAAUCUUGGAGAAAAUUAGAGCUCUGAAUCAGGAAGAACCUGUAAAUCAAGAACCUCCGGAGGAGCCCUUGAGCUCGCGCAAGGUCGACUCGAUGUGCUCGCGCAAGAGCUCCAACCUCUUCAAGUACACCUCCAACUCCAGAAUCUGCUGCUUCCUCCACCUCCCAUCCCCCAAAUUACUCACCGAACUGCCGCCACCGCCGCCGCCGCCGCCAAAACCUAGGAGGGGCCCUCCGAUGGCGGCGCCAACCAGCUCCUUGAACAGCAGCGGCGAGAGGUCCGACGCCGCUGCUGGCGUAGCCAGCGGUGGCGGUGGUGGCGGUGGCUUCGGAGUGGGAUUCUCCGCGGUCACCGUGAUCGGCACGGGCACGGGCACGGGCACGGCCACGGGCACGGGCACGGGCACGGGCACCGGAAUUGGAUCUUCGGCUGCUGCUGCUGCUGCUGCUGCAGCGGCGGUAGCUCUCCUGAGCCGCCGCUGCUGCCGCUGCUGCUGCCGCCGCGAGCGCGAGCGCGGCGGCUUGCGAUCGCUAUCGGAAUUGUUGAUGAUGGGAUUGGCGGGAUCGGGGUUGGGAUCGGAGGAGGGGGUCCAGAUGUUGCGGGCGAUCUCGAAGAGGGCCUGCUCGUGGGGGGAGCGGAAGGCGAAGGAGUCGGCGGCGGAGCGGAGGCGGGCGACGCAGUUGAGGUACUUCUUCUUGAGGCGGCGGAGCUUCUCGACGAGCUGGCUCUUGGAGAAGUCGAGGGGGAGCUGGCGCCGCAUCUCGUCGUAGAAGGGGCCCGUGUCGUACUGGUGCGACGCGAACGCCGUCCCCCGCCGCGUCGUGAACUCCGAGAACCCCCGCAGGAUCACCAGCUCCUCCUCCUCCGUCCACAGCCGCUGGAACAGCCGCCGCGCCUCCUCCGCCGCCGCCGCGCCGCCGCCGUGCGCACCCCGAUUAGGGUUAGGGUUACGGUUACGGUUAGGCUUAGCCCCCGACGUUGUCGGAGCACCAUCGUCGGCGUCGGCGGUGGAGUCGGUGUGGCGCUCCGCCUCCAUGGGCGACGCCGGCGGAGGUGGCGCCGCCGCCGCCGCCGCCGCGGGAAGAUCGUCGUCGGUGUCGUCGUCGUCGUCCUCCUCCUCCUCCUCCUCCUCGGAGUCGUCGCCGUCGUCGUCGUCGAACACGGCGCGCUCCUUCUCCUCUUCCUCGGCGGAGGCCAUUUUCUCUCUCUACGCUACUCUACUCUCUCUCCCCCUCUCUCUCUCUCUCUCUCUGCGCUCUAACUCUUAUACUGUGUGGAUAGGGUAAAUUUGGGGAUUUGGGUUCGGAAAAGAGAUGCAAAUGGAUAAGAAUUGGUGGAGCUCCGGAAAUAGAGAUGCAAAUGGAUCCGAAUUAGUGGAGCUGCUAAGUCGAUCCGUUGUGAAUGGGACAAGUAAAUAAAAAUAAAUUAUAUAAAAAUAUAUAUAUAAUUCACCCUUAAUCCAUUUCGAUGUGACAAGUAAAUGACGCGAUCCAUAAAAAUCAUGUCUCAAUCCAUUCCAAAUGAAAUAAUAAGUGAUGAUCAAAAAUAAAAUUAAAAUUAAUUUGUCCACCGUCGGAUCCGCCCUGUGGGAGUUGGGGGAUCUCUCCCGCGCUCGGAUCCGUCCUGUUUGCAUUCUAGUUUAAAAAUUGCGACUUGCGAUUUGACUCUUUAGCAAUAAUAAUUUAUCGAUCUAACCCAUAUUCAGUUAUUAUUACUAAGGUAAAGUUCUCUUUUAUAUAUAUACCCAAUAAGAACCUCAUUUUUAUCCUAAAAUUUUUUAAUUAGGGUUAAAUAGACGCCAUUUUUUCAUUAAUUAUACUAUAUAACACUAUUUUAUAUAUUUCUUUUUUGGCUUUCUUUACUGUAUUCCUUUUGUUUUUGCAAAAAGAUCAUUCAACUAUUUUUUUUUAAUUUUUAUACAAUAAACAAUAAAUCUAUAAUUUUAUAUAAAAUCUAUUAGAAUAUGCUGGUUAAAAAUAGCAAAAUGUAUAUCCGACUCAUUUUAACAUAAAAUAUAAUUAAAUAUAUAAAAAUAACAAAAAUAAUUUGAUAAAAGUUUUUGAUGAGUCUUUUAUGAAAAUUUAUUUUUUAUUUUGUCUACUAUUUAACUAGUGUCUCUUAAUAAAGUUAUUUGAUUUUGUUUAAAAUAAUAUCAACAAUGUAGAGAUUGACGAUCGAGAAAACAAAAAAAUUGCUUAAUUACAUCCUAUUACAAAUAAAUUUUAAUAAAUCGAACUGUAAAAUUUAAAUUUGGACAAAAUCAAAUAUAAACAGUAGAGUUUUAAUAGAAUAAAUUUGUAAAAUAAAUAUAGAUGUAGAGUUUAAAUUGAAUAAAUUUGUGCCAAAAAUAAACUAAAAUAGACUUUACACUUUAAAUUUCAAAUAGAAUAAAUAAUAAUCUGAACAACAGAUUUUCAAUUUGGACAGAAUAAUUUGAACCUUAUAGUUAAAUUAAAACAAAAUAAACAAAAUUUCAAUAGAAUAAAGGGUUUAGGGUUUAGUAGAAUAUAUGUCUUGUGAAGUAACAAUUUAUAGUUAAAACAAAUAAUUUUAAUCUAAAAGUUUCGUGCUUCCAUAACAAUACCUUAAUACAAGACUAGGCUGGAAUACUAUUAAUAGCACCAAUAACUUGGUGCUAUUAAGUUUUACACUAUUAGAUUAAAAAAUGUGCGGUUAGGAUGAUUUGGGCCCUCUAGGGUUGAGUGGGUGGUUGGUUAAAUAGUAUAAUCUAACGGAUAAAAAUAAUCAAAGAGAUUAAUCUAACAGCAGAAAACUUGAUAGCACCAAGUACUUGGUGCUAUCGAUAGCGUAGCGGCCGGACUCCUUAAUACAAUAUGAAUUAGAUAUUAAAUUAGUAGAAUAUAAUAUUAAAACUUGGGGCACUGUUACCUGUAUGCUUAUAUGGUGUACAUUUUACACCAUUCAUGUAAAGGUGUUAAAAGUUAAAAAAAGGAAAAACUUUAAAUACCAUCCCUGUGGUUUCGCACUUUAUCACUUUAGUACUUUAGUAUUCUGUGAUCUAAAAUGUAUCACUUCUAUACCCUGUGAUUUUAUUUUUUUCCUUUUGAUUAUCCCCUCUACUAAUUUUUUUUGUUAAAUUAGUGACAAAGUUAAAACUAAGAGAUACUAAAGUGAAUAUUAGAUAAAUUAUAGAUGAAGUAUCUGAAGUUUUUUAUAUAUAAUUUAACGAAAAAUUAACGGAGGGAGCGAUGGAAAGAGAAAAAUAAAAUCGUAGAGUACUAAAUUGAUAUACUUUAAAUCACGAAAUACUAAAAUAAAAAAAUAGAAAACUAGGUAGUAUUUAAAGUUUAUCCUUAA